AAAAAAAUUUAUGUGUACAGAGAACAAAAAAAAAAAAAAGUCUAUUUUCAGUUUUACUUUUGUAUAUAAACCUAAGAUGGCCUCGCUGGUAAAAAUAAGAAAAAAAAAAAGACAAAAGAGAAAAAAAGAAAAACAAGGAGCUUCAGUUCAUUUUUAUGGAUGCUGAAGAUUUUACACCUGUGCAUUUGUCAUGUGAGUUUUCUUUUCUUUUCCUUUUUUUCCCCCUAUAGUUUGAACACCAAUGGCAUUAUUUUCUCCACAGUUAAAGGAACAGGAGAGGAGCUGAGCUUCUAAAGUUCAAGCUUGGGGGGAGAGGGAUUUUUCUCCUCUUGGAGACAUUUCCCUUGGCUGGUGGAAUCUAAUUCCCCCAUCCCAUAUUUAGUGCAGGUUUUGUAAUUGUGGCAGCAGAGCAGCCCCUGCUCUGUCUGCAGCCCGGAGCCUUCCAGGGGUGGGGUUGGUUUUUUGGGAUUUUUUUUUGGCGUUUCUGGUUCCCUGUGCCCCUCUACCCAGGCAAAUUCUCCUUUUGAAUUCCAUGCUUCAGUCAGGAAUGUUGCAAAUUCAUCCAGGGAAUGACACGAAGCUGACUGGGAGGUUUAGGUUGGAUUUCAGGGAAAGUUCCACCCCCAGAGGCACUGCCCAGGCUCCCCAGGGAAUGCUGACAUUCCCAAGGCUGCCAGAGCUCCAGGGAUGUUGGGACAAAGCUCCCAGGGAUGCACAGGGUGGGAUUUUGAGAUGCCCUGUGCAAGGACUUUGCUGCUCGUGGGUCCCUCCCAGCUCAGAAUAUUCCACACUUGUGGGAUCCAGGAACUCCUGAGGGCCUGACCCCAUCAAAUCCCAGCUGGGGAAUGACUUGGGAGACAAGAUGUUCCAUUUUUGUGGGGUGGAGCCCCAAAUCAACAUCAGAUCCCAGCUGGGGAAUGACUUGUGGGACAAAGUGUUCCAUUUUUGUGGGGUGGAGCCCCAAAUCAACAUCAGAUCCCAGCUGGGGAAUGACUUGGGAGACAAGAUGUUCCAUUUUUGUGGAGUGGAGCCCCAAAUCAACAUCAAAUCCCAGCUGAGGAAUGACUUGUUGAGGAAUUCAUUGAGAAAUGAAUUUGAUUUGGAUGAGAUGUUCCAUUUUUAUGGAGUGGAGCCCCAAAUCAACAUAAAUCCCAGCUGAGGAAUGGCUUGUGGGGCAAGGUGUUCCAUUUUUGUGGGGUGGAGCCCCAAAUCCCAGCUGAGGAGUGACCUGUGGCACAAGAUGUUCCAUUUUUAUGGAGUGGAGCCUGAAAUCAACAUCAGAUCCCAGCUGAGGAGUGGCUUGUUGAGGAAUUCAUUGAGAAAUGAAUUUAAUUUGGACAAGAUGUUCCAUUUUUAUAGAGUGGAGCCCCAAAUCCCAGCUGAGGAGUGACCUGUAGCACGAGAUGUUCCAUUUUUGUGGGGUGGAGCCCCAAAAUCCCAGCUGAGGAAUGGCUUGUGGGGCAAGGUAUGUUCCCUGCUCAGUGUCAGCCUGAACCCCAAAAACCCCCACAUUGUGCCUCUUUUAGGGCUAGUGGUUCCAAAAUUUGGAAUUCUUUGGUUUCCCCAGAUUUUUUCCCCUAUUUAAUUCCCGGUUUCUUUUCUCGUUGUUUUUAAGUUGUGCAUGACAUAGGAAAUUUAAUUUUUUUUUUUUUUUUUUGGGUCAUUUGGGCUGAUCCGUUCUUCUUAAGGAGUGGAAUGUGUAAAUAGCUGGAAUGCAGAUUUUUUUUUUUUUUUUUUUUUUUUUCAGGAGAUUCUUUAAAGUCAGAGAAAGGGGGAGGGAAGGAAGUGAUUCUCUUGUGUCCCAAAGUCCAUGUCAGAGAGAGUAAAUAUUCCCUCUGGUGUGAAAAAUAUUUUUAUAACUGGUUGAAAGUGCAGGUAUUGAGUUUAUCAGGAAAAAGAGAGUUAAGGAAUACUAAAAUUAGCAGAUUCUUGUCUGAAUUUUUUCAUGUCCAAAAAAACUGUUGAUUGCAAAUAGUUGCUUCAAGCAUUGACAAGGGCCACCUUUUGCCUAUGAAGUCGUCUCAAAAAAAAAAAUAAAUAAAUCUUGCAUUGAUUUAAAAAAAAAAAGGAAAAAAAAACAGGAAAAAAAUUUAAAAAAAAACCAAGAAAAAAAAAGCAAAAAAAAAAAAACAAACCUUUAAUCCAAGUAGCAUUAGGUAUUGCUGUCUGAUCAGUCGUAUGGUUAUUUGAAAGGUUCACAUGAUGUGGCAUCAAAAAUUGUUUUUAGUGUUUUUACAGCAUCCCUCUGCCACUAAAUAGUUGACUUGAAUUUUGGAAAAAGGAAACUGUUGGUGUUUAUAUGUAUAUGUGUGUGUAUAUAUGUAUUUAUAGAUCCGUGUGUGUGAGUUCCAGGUGAGUUCAAUAGUUUUUUCCCAUGCAUGUGUAUUUCAUACAUAUCUGGCUGAUAUAUUCUAUUUCACCAUACACCGAUUUUAUAAUUUAUUAAAUGUCAGUUAAAAAAAAGAAGAAAAAAAAAAAGAAAUAAAAGGCUAGAAAAUGGGAAAGA
This is a long non-coding RNA of Vidua macroura (Pin-tailed whydah), 2506 nucleotides long. RefSeq lists it as uncharacterized. Lineage: Eukaryota; Metazoa; Chordata; Aves; Passeriformes; Viduidae. The record is from RefSeq and is a predicted model, not a curated record. The transcript has 2 exons.